This 550-nucleotide ribosomal RNA is filed under the name uncultured Polyangiaceae bacterium. RNAcentral describes it as "bacterial SSU rRNA". It matches the Rfam family "Bacterial small subunit ribosomal RNA", at positions 355 to 897 of the family's 1533-position model. The record is from RNAcentral. Lineage: Bacteria; Pseudomonadati; Myxococcota; Polyangiales; Polyangiaceae.
UGGGGAAUCUUGCGCAAUGGGCGAAAGCCUGACGCAGCGACGCCGCGUGAGUGGUGAAGGCCUUCGGGUUGUAAAGCUCUGUGGAGGGGGACGAAUAAGGGCCGUCGAAUAGACGGCUCGAUGACGGUACCCCUUUAGCAAGCACCGGCUAACUCUGUGCCAGCAGCCGCGGUAAGACAGAGGGUGCAAACGUUGUUCGGAAUUACUGGGCGUAAAGCGCGUGUAGGCGGCUCGGCAAGUCGGGUGUGAAAGCCCUGGGCUUAACCUAGGAAGUGCACUCGAAACUGCCAAGCUUGAGUUCUGGAGAGGAAGGCGGAAUUCUCGGUGUAGAGGUGAAAUUCGUAGAUAUCGAGAGGAACACCGGUGGCGAAGGCGGCCUUCUGGACAGCAACUGACGCUGAGACGCGAAAGCGUGGGGAGCAAACAGGAUUAGAUACCCUGGUAGUCCACGCCGUAAACGAUGGGUGCUAGGUGUCGCGGGUUUUGACCCCUGCGGUGCCGUAGCUAACGCAUUAAGCACCCCGCCUGGGGAGUACGGCCGCAAGGCUAA